ACGUCUAUGCAGUGGCUCUCUUCGCUCGGAACUUUGUUUUUUAUGUACUUGGCGUCGCGACGCUACCGCGUCGCUUGAUAUCGAGGUUCCAGAUAAUCGAUUGAAGUUAUGGCAGCAUUUACAAAAGGUUCGCCAAGAUUUUUGGCGACGCUGACAGAAAGAAUACCUUGUUGGAGCUACAACGCCGACAUAAGUGGAUGAGCAGAGAGGAGAAUUUAAAGCCAGGAACGUUAGUACUUUUAAAAGAAAAUAAUUUGCCUCCUUUACAAUGGGCAAUUGGGAGAAUUGUAAACGUCCAUUCAGGCGAGAAUGGUAUCGUAUGAGUUGUUAAAGUUCAGACUGCUAACGGAGAAUUCAAGCGAUCAGCAAGAGAUGUUUGUUCAUUACCUAUAGAUAACAGUAUUGAUUCAGCGAAAAUUAAUGCAUAGAGGUUAGCCAGUUCGAAUUGAAAGAGAGUCUUUCAAGGCGGGCGGGAUAUGUUUGCCGCUUAUAUUACGUUAUAACAAUUAUUUAGUUUAUAAGAAUUCAGUUUGUUUUAGGUUUACUUUUAUUUGCCACAGGAGCUCGAAUUUAAGUUGCCGUUACUAUUAGAAUAUAUAUAUCAAGCUGCGCGCGAAGUCAUUGCGCAUGUUCUUUGUUAGUUCGCAGGAAGAAAGCACAUUGUAAGUCACGCCCUGUAUGCUUGUGCCUCGAAUAAAGAGUUUCGUGUAAAACAAGGCAUUGGAUUUAAUAAUUCUCGCAUUCCGGACUGUGAUAGUCUGACACAAGGACUGUGAUAACCCGGCACAUACAACAUUUUUGUAAAGUUUUCUUUUUCUUUUUGGUUGGCGGAUUUCCUUUCUUCUCUAUUGGGUUUACAUUUUCUUUUUCACUUUGGCUCAUAUUUUCUUUGUCUAUCUGUGAUCUCUGUAAACGAAAAUAUUUUAUAUUAAAAUAUUUUAAUAACAUUUUCUGUGUGUAUUAUAGAUUCCUGAUAUACCAGAAAAAUGGAAAAAAUUGCAAAAAGGUUUGAACACCAUUGGGAUUUCCCACGUUUUCUCGGUACUUUGGAUGGGAAACAUAUCCGAGUCAAGACUCCACCUAACUCAGGAUCACUAUUCUAUAAUUACAAGAACUUUUGCAGUAUUGUAAUAUUGGCUGUAGUUAACUCGAAUUACGAAUUUAUAAUGGUAGAUGUCGGAAUGAAUGAUCGGGUAUCUGACGGGGAAAUCUUGAACAAUUCAAAAUUUGGCCAUUUACUUAAUACGAACACAUAACCUGCAUAUUCCCUUUGAAGAAGUGCCAAAUAGUGCACCAUUUGUUUUUGUAGGCGAUGACGCGUUUUCUUUGGCAUAUAAUUUGUUAAAGCCUUAUAGUCAAACAAGAUCAAUUUUAAUAACAAGUAUAGAAAUCUUUUCUUCGCCAGGGAGUUCUAAAUUUUAGAUGCAUAUUUUAAUCGCGAUACUGGCAAUAUCUGAUGGUUGGACAUAUUUUUUAUAUAUUUUAACUGCACGCCAACAAAUUGUAAGCCGUUCUGCGGCACUGGUCGAUGUCGAUCGAGAUUUAGCGAGGUAUGAUUAGAGCGCCCCUGACGACGAGAAGGUUAGAAUAAAAUAUGGCGGAAAAGAAGAAUACGUGCCUCAUUUCAUUCCUGCUAAAAUCUUAAGAAUAAAUAGGCUUACAAUAUUCAGAAGUGGGAUACGGUGGCCAGUGUGGAGAGCCGUGACGCUGUGUGCUGCGGUAAUCACCGGAAAAUUGAGUCGUAACGCUUCGUGCUGCGACAAGAAGGAAGUCGAGUCGAGACGCUUCGUGUUGUGACGGAAGAAAGUCGGGUCGUGACGCUUCGUGCUGCGACGGAAGAAAAUCGAGUCGUGACGCUUCGUGCUGCGACGGAAGAAAAUCAAGUCGUGACGCUUCGUGCUGCGACGGAAGAAAAUCAAGUCGUGACGCUUCGUGCUGCGACGAAAGAAGAUCAAGUCGUGACGCUUUGUGCUGCGACGGAAGAGGAUCAAGUCGCGACGCUUCGUGCUGUGACGUGAAGUUAAGUAGUUGCAACGAGAGCCGUAUAGGUUAGGAAAAGCCAGCGGACAAGUAAGUCAGAGUGGAAUACGAUAACUACUGAUCACAAUGGACCCGAAUGACUUAACGAGCAAAUCAAAAAUAGCUGAAGGCAGAGAGGAUUGCCGGUAAAAGACCGAACUAAUUUUGAGGAUACACGAGAGCAAUCCUACGGAUAGCUGGGUCGACGAGGCGGCCAGGCUCAGGAUGAACCCAGAGGAAGGCGAACCAGCGGUAGGCUGAGGAAAAUGCACGGAGAGAGGAAGGUAGAUUAAGGUUAGAGCAACUAGAAGUCGAGCUGAUGCGGCGUGAGCGAGAGCUAAUGGAAAGAGAGCUCGAGCUGCUCAGAAGAGAAAACACCAUGUUAAGAGCCACCGUUUCGCGUAUUAGCAUUAAAAGCAUUGGUGAGUUGUUGAGCGAAUAUAACGGUUCGGCAGCUGAUUUUGUAAGAUGGAAAGCUCAACUGAUGCUGUUGCGAAACACAUACGGACUGGAUGACAACGCCACUAGAAUCUUAUUGGGUUCUAAGUUGAAGGGGAAAGUAGGGAUGGGCGAUAUCAUAUCGAUAUUUCGAAUAUCGACAUUUCGCAGUCAAUAUUUCGUUAUUUUUUAUCGCUAUUUCAACUGUCGAUAUAUCGAGGUAUCGAUAUUUUAGUGCCAAUAUCGAAGUUCGAUAUUAAAUAUGGACGCGAAUUUGAAAUGGACGUAUUAAUUGGCUAUCAAAUAGAGAAUUUUUGGGGACCCUAAAACUUCUCUAUCUGAUAGCCAAUUAUAAUACGUUCGACUAAGCUUGUCGUACGACACAUGAAAUCUCAGCCUUAAAGGGAGAAUUGUGCGCAUUACAAAGCCGGUUGUUGGCAUACGAGUGGAAACGAUUUGUGACCCAGCAUCUCAUACAUCAGCCUACUGGCGUAUGGGCGAAUUCGUUCCCUGAGCCAUAACAGAAAGAAGAACAUAUAUGAAUGAAAAUCAAGAACAAACUCCUGUGCCACCAAAAAGCAUAGUUUGGAAACAUUUUAUAAAAACUACUGAAGGAGCUGAAUGUAAAAUUUGUCUACAGAAUGUGAAGGCUGGAGGUAAUACAACUAACCUUCACUCUCAUUUAAAGCAUUCUCAUAGUGACUUAAAGAUAACGAUGCCUAAUGUUACAAAAUCAAAAUCUUACAAAAGAAAACAACCGAUUGCAUAAGCGUUGAAGAAAACAUUUCUAUACCUGUGUCACCAACACCCUCCUGCUCAUUUUCAAUAAUAUCUCAAAUGUCAACAUCAUCUACAACGUCAAUUCAGUUUCAACCUAAAAAGCUUAAGACCUCUAAUAAAGUAAAGCAACAAAGACUGGAUGUGUCUAUCGCAAGGCAAAAGUCUUUACAAGAUGGAGGCUCAAGAGCAGCAGAUAUUACGAAUAAAUUAUUAUUCAUGCUUGCGAAAGAUGCAUUACCUUACCGAACAGUGGAGAAAGAAGGAUUUCAAGUAUUUAUGAAAACGCUUGUUCCUCUAUAUAAAA
This 3541-nucleotide long non-coding RNA is filed under the name Ooceraea biroi (clonal raider ant). RNAcentral describes it as "uncharacterized LOC109611061". Lineage: Eukaryota; Metazoa; Arthropoda; Insecta; Hymenoptera; Formicidae. The record is from RNAcentral.